This 227-nucleotide ribosomal RNA is filed under the name uncultured bacterium. RNAcentral's name for it is "partial 16S ribosomal RNA". It matches the Rfam family "Bacterial small subunit ribosomal RNA", at positions 391 to 609 of the family's 1533-position model. The record is from RNAcentral.
GCCAUGCCGCGGACAUGAAGAAGGCCUUCGGGUUGUAAAGUACAAUCAGCGGGGACCUAGGGAGUAAAGUUAAUACCUUUAAUCAUUGACGUUACCCGCAGUUCGAAGCACCGGCUAACUCCAGUCCAGCAGGGGCGGUAAUACGGUAGGUGCAAGCGUUAAUCGGAAUUACUGGCCGUAAAGCGCACGCAGGCGGUUUGUUAAGUCAGAUGUGAUAUCGCUGGGCU